Long non-coding RNA from Papaver somniferum (opium poppy), 725 nucleotides. RefSeq lists it as uncharacterized. NCBI's taxonomy places the organism in Eukaryota, Viridiplantae, Streptophyta, Magnoliopsida, Ranunculales, Papaveraceae. The transcript has 6 exons. The record is from RefSeq and is a predicted model, not a curated record.
GAUGAGAUUUAGAGAUUCGUUCUUCAUUCUUCAGGGAGAAAUCAUAUCUCUGGCAAACUACAUGGAGAUUCAAAUAUAUGAUACAACUCAUAAAAUGCGUGGAAUCCUGAUAAAUUGGUUUAUUGAAGUUAACUGCAAAUUUGAUUUGAUGCCAGAAAUUUUGUUUCUCAUGGUCAUAUUAUUUGACAGAUUUCUUUUUGUUUUUGCAAUAAAAAAGAACCGACAUGCAGUUGGUUAAGGAGUUAGUUAGCCUUGCUGUUGACUCAUAUACAUUGGAGAUCAAAUGCUUUCAAUGGAAAAUCUCAUACUUAAAAGGUUGUUGUUUCGUCUUAAUGCACCAACUCCUAACGUUUUCAUCAUUAAUUUCUCAAGGCUUGUCAGUGGGAUGCUAAGGUUGUGACAUUUUCGACGCACCAAACCUUGUCAUCCUCUGUUUCCCAUCUGGAAGUUGGUAUGCCUUCUCUACACUCAGUACAUAUAACUUUCUGUGCGACUUUUUAGUCUUCUGAGGAAGCUUUUCAGAGGCUUCAUGACUCCUCGAAUGUGGAUUGACUGCUAGGUGCUCCUCAUUCCGUUUAUCAUCUGCAAGGCUGCUAGUUGUUCUCAGGUCACUGUACAAUUUCUUCUCAGAAUCUAAAACUGGUUCUGGUUGCUUAUGAGGUUUUCCAUGUCGUGGAGUUUCCUCCAUCAAGAAAUUAAAUGUAUUAUAUAUAUAUUCUAAAUCC